This 253-nucleotide ribosomal RNA is filed under the name uncultured bacterium. RNAcentral's name for it is "partial 16S ribosomal RNA". It matches the Rfam family "Bacterial small subunit ribosomal RNA", at positions 524 to 776 of the family's 1533-position model. The record is from RNAcentral.
UACGGAGGGGGCGAGCGUUAUUCGGAAUUAUUGGGCGUAAAGGGCGCGUAGGCGGCCUGGCAAGUGGAAGGUGAAAUCCCUCGGCUUAACCGAGGAACUGCCCUCCAAACUGCUUGGCUUGAGUCCGGGAGAGGUGAGUGGAAUUCCCAGUGUAGCGGUGAAAUGCGUAGAUAUCGGGAGGAACACCAGUGGCGAAGGCGACUACCUGGCCUGUUCUUGACGCUGAGGCGCGAAAGCUAGGGGAGCAAACGGG